AUACGGAGGGGGGUUAGCGUUGUUCGGGAAUUACUGGGCGUAAAGCGCACGUAGGCGGAUCGGAAAGUUGGGGGGUGAAAUUCCGGGGCUCAACCCCGGAACUGCCUCCAAAACUAUCGGUCUAGAGUUCGAGAGAGGUGAGUGGAAUUCCGAGUGUAGAGGUGAAAUUCGUAGAUAUUCGGAGGAACACCAGUGGCGAAGGCGGCUCACUGGCUCGAUACUGACGCUGAGGUGCGAAAGUGUGGGGAGCAAACAGGAUUAGAUACCCUGGUAGUCCACACCGUAAACGAUGAAUGCCAGUCGUCGGGUAGCAUGCUAUUCGGUGACACACCUAACGGAUUAAGCAUUCCGCCUGGGGAGUACGGUCGCAAGAUUAAAACUCAAAGAAAUUGACGGGGGCCCGCACAAGCGGUGGAGCAUGUGGUUUAAUUCGAAGCAACGCGCAGAACCUUACCAACCCUUGACUUCCUAGGACCGCUCCAGAGAUGGAUCUUUCACUUCGGUGACCUAGUGACAGGUGCUGCAUGGCUGUCGUCAGCUCGUGUCGUGAGAUGUUCGGUUAAGUCCGGCAACGAGCGCAACCCACAUCCUUAGUUGCCAGCAGUUCGGCUGGGCACUCUAGGGGAACUGCCCGUGAUAAGCGGGAGGAAGGUGUGGAUGACGUCAAGUCCUCAUGGCCCUUACGGGUUGGGCUACACACGUGCUACAAUGGCAGUGACAAUGGGCUAAUCCCAAAAAACUGUCUCAGUUCGGAUUGGGGUCUGCAACUCGACCCCAUGAAGUCGGAAUCGCUGGUAAUCGCGUAACAGCAUGACGCGGUGAAUACGUUCCCGGGCCUUGUACACAUCGCCCGUCACACCAUGGGAGUUGGUUCUACCCGACGGCCGUGCGCUAACCUUUUGGAGGCAGCGGACCACGGUAGGAUCAGCGACUGGGGUGAAGUCGUAACAAGGUAACC
RNAcentral lists this ribosomal RNA (958 nucleotides) under uncultured bacterium. RNAcentral describes it as "bacterial SSU rRNA". It matches the Rfam family "Bacterial small subunit ribosomal RNA", at positions 523 to 1501 of the family's 1533-position model. The record is from RNAcentral.